GAAUUUAAUAUGCAUUACUGUGGUAUUUCUCCAGUUUUCUAAGAAGGCUGGUGAUUUUGAAUUGGGAUUAUGAUGAAUUUAACCCAAAGGCAAUUAGGGAAUCCAAACCACGUGACCUCUGGUUGGCACACAAACUAACAAAGAGGUUAUGUUUGUAUCUAUUUUUCAAUGAUUUUUCAUUGUUUAUCGUCGUAUUUUGGAUUCAUUUGGAUUUCGUUUCCUGUUUUUGUGAACUUUAUAAACUUUACCACAAUGCAAACUGAUUAUUUAAGGAAAUUAUUAUUGGAAACUCCAGAUGUUGCGAGAAAGAUAUUUAUUGAAGCUGAAAAUAAUUGGGGAUUUAGAUCCAUACGCAAUUCAGUCAGAAUUGGAUUUUACAGUAAAGUGCAGUCCAUCAAGUUACUAUUAUAGAUAUUUAUACAUAUCUGGUGGAGUCUGAUAUGUCACAGUUGCUACUCUAAGCAGCAGAUGAAAGCAUACAAAAGCCUUCAGGCACAUAAAUAUUUUACAGCUGGAUUUGUUUUGAAUGGAGUAAAAAUUGUUAAUGAUUUCCUGAUUUCCAUAUUAUUGUCGGAAAGGUGAAGCAUUUCCAAAAAUCUAAUGCUAAACGACUAAAUGCUUGGGUGGGGUGAUAGCCAGUUCUGAUGACAUAGCAAAUUCACAUUGUAUGGGUAUGGCCGGUAAUAGUGAAGUCUGCAGCAAUCCUAUUUUUAGCUUAGUAUGCUCAGGGCAAGACAGACGAAGAAGAACCCAAUGUAUGUACAUAUGUUACAGCUAUACCUCGUCCAAUUUACUUACCUUUGCACGUCAUCCGCGCCAUAGCCUGUGACACGAUACCAACACGAAAUAUCUAGGCGGUAGGUGUGUUCCCCUUUAGAAUCAUUUUGAUUCUAAAAAAGAACACAUCCACCGCCUAAAUAUUUUGUGUUGGUAUCGUGUCACAGGCUAUGGCGCGGAUGACGUGCAACGGUAAGUAAAUUGGACGAGGUAUAGAUGGUUUGGAGAUAGCAACAUAUGCAUUCUCUGAUGAAAAACUAAUGAGUUUUGAAACUGUUCGGUCAGAGUGCUUGUUGCGCUCACUAAACGAAUUGAAAUAUAAGAUGGCUUUGGCAUUGUGUUGCAGUGAUAUGAAAAUGGUUAUUCAUUUUUAAUUAUAAUGUACUUCUUCAUCAUGAGUAAUUAUGUAUUGGUCUUUUAAAUGUGUAUUUAUUUUUGUAAUUAGUAUCAACUUGUAAUGAUAAUAUACAUUUAUCGUUGAGGGUAUGACUAUGUUUUGACUCUAAAAUAAAUGUUUUAAAAAUCGAA
Molecule: long non-coding RNA, 1305 nt
Filed under: Diabrotica virgifera virgifera (western corn rootworm)
Lineage: Eukaryota; Metazoa; Arthropoda; Insecta; Coleoptera; Chrysomelidae
Description: uncharacterized LOC126884587
Source: RNAcentral